AAGGCCCAGACAGCCAGGAUGUUGGCUUAGAAGCAGCCAUCAUUUAAAGAAAGCGUAAUAGCUCACUGGUCGAGUCGGCCUGCGCGGAAGAUGUAACGGGGCUAAACCAUGCACCGAAGCUGCGGCAGCGACGCUUAUGCGUUGUUGGGUAGGGGAGCGUUCUGUAAGCCUGCGAAGGUGUACUGUGAGGUAUGCUGGAGGUAUCAGAAGUGCGAAUGCUGACAUAAGUAACGAUAAAGCGGGUGAAAAGCCCGCUCGCCGGAAGACCAAGGGUUCCUGUCCAACGUUAAUCGGGGCAGGGUGAGUCGACCCCUAAGGCGAGGCCGAAAGGCGUAGUCGAUGGGAAACAGGUUAAUAUUCCUGUACUUGGUGUUACUGCGAAGGGGGGACGGAGAAGGCUAUGUUGGCCGGGCGACGGUUGUCCCGGUUUAAGCGUGUAGGCUGGUUUUCCAGGCAAAUCCGGAAAAUCAAGGCUGAGGCGUGAUGACGAGGCACUACGGUGCUGAAGCAACAAAUGCCCUGCUUCCAGGAAAAGCCUCUAAGCAUCAGGUAACAUCAAAUCGUACCCCAAACCGACACAGGUGGUCAGGUAGAGAAUACCAAGGCGCUUGAGAGAACUCGGGUGAAGGAACUAGGCAAAAUGGUGCCGUAACUUCGGGAGAAGGCACGCUGAUAUGUAGGUGAAGUCCCUCGCGGAUGGAGCUGAAAUCAGUCGAAGAUACCAGCUGGCUGCAACUGUUUAUUAAAAACACAGCACUGUGCAAACACGAAAGUGGACGUAUACGGUGUGACGCCUGCCCGGUGCCGGA
This 809-nucleotide ribosomal RNA is filed under the name Escherichia coli. RNAcentral's name for it is "partial 23S ribosomal RNA". It matches the Rfam family "Bacterial large subunit ribosomal RNA", at positions 1080 to 1873 of the family's 2925-position model. Lineage: Bacteria; Pseudomonadati; Pseudomonadota; Gammaproteobacteria; Enterobacterales; Enterobacteriaceae. The record is from RNAcentral.